This 482-nucleotide ribosomal RNA is filed under the name uncultured bacterium. RNAcentral describes it as "bacterial SSU rRNA". It matches the Rfam family "Bacterial small subunit ribosomal RNA", at positions 28 to 507 of the family's 1533-position model. The record is from RNAcentral.
GAUGAACGCUUGCUGUGUGCCUAAUACAUGCAUGUCGUACGAGGUCAUUUAUGGCCUAGUGGCGAAUGGGUGAGUAACACGUACCUAACCUACCUUUUAGAUUGGGAUAACUGUUGGAAACAAUAGCUAAUACCGAAUACGUAUGUAGACCGCAUGGUUUUUUAUAAAAGGGGCGUUUGCCCCGCUUGAAGAUGGGGGGUGCGUCAUAUUAGCUAGUUGGUAGGGUAAAGGCCUACCAAGGCGAUGAUAUGUAGCCGGAUUGAGAAGUUGAUCGGCCACACUGGGACUGAGAUACGGCCCAGACUCCUACGGGAGGCAGCAGUAGGGAAUUUUCCGCAAUGAGCGAAAGCUCGACGGAGCGACACAGCGUGCAGGAUGAAGGUCUUCGGAUUGUAAACUGCUGUUGUAAGGGAAGAAAAAAUUUAAUAGGAAAUGAUUAAAUCUUGACAGUACCUUAUUAGAAAGUGACGGCUAACUAUGUG